Molecule: transfer RNA, 102 nt
Filed under: Caudoviricetes sp.
Lineage: Duplodnaviria; Heunggongvirae; Uroviricota; Caudoviricetes
Description: tRNA-Tyr
Rfam family: tRNA
About the family: Transfer RNA (tRNA) molecules are approximately 80 nucleotides in length. Their secondary structure includes four short double-helical elements and three loops (D, anti-codon, and T loops).
Source: RNAcentral
GAAAGAAUAGCUCAGUUGGUAGAGCGGACAUCAGUAAAACGGGGCAACCAUGGAAAUCCUCGUGGGGAUGUUAGGUCGGUGGUUCAAGUCCAUCUUCUUUCA